Molecule: ribosomal RNA, 300 nt
Filed under: uncultured Alteromonas sp.
Lineage: Bacteria; Pseudomonadati; Pseudomonadota; Gammaproteobacteria; Alteromonadales; Alteromonadaceae
Description: bacterial SSU rRNA
Rfam family: Bacterial small subunit ribosomal RNA
Source: RNAcentral
CUAGCCCCGUGCCAGCAGCCUGGUGCAUACGGAGGAGCCAAGCGUUAGCCGGAAUUACUGGGCGGAAAGAGUUGCGUAGGUGGCAGGGUAAGUAGAUAGUGAAAGCGUGUGGCUCAACCAUACAUCCAUUAUCUAAACUGCUCAGCUAGAGGACGAGAGAGGUUAUUGGAAUUCCCAGUGUAGGAGUGAAAUCCGUAGAUAUUGGGAGGAACACCGAUGGCGUAGGCAGAUAACUGGCUCGUUCCUGACACUAAGGCACGAAAGCGUGGGGAGCAAACGGGAUUAGAUACCCGAGUAGUC